AACGAACGCUGGCGGCAUGCCUAACACAUGUAAGUCGAACGAGACCUUCGGGUCUAGUGGCGCACGGGUGCGUAACGCGUGGGAACCUGCCCUUAGGUUCGGAAUAACUCCCCGAAAGGGGUGCUAAUACCGGAUAAUGUCUUCGGACCAAAGAUUUAUCGCCUUUGGAUGGGCCCGCGUUGGAUUAGCUAGUUGGUAGGGUAAAAGCCUACCAAGGCGACGAUCCAUAGCUGGUCUGAGAGGAUGAUCAGCCACACUGGGACUGAGACACGGCCCAGACUCCUACGGGAAGCAGCAGUGGGGAAUAUUGGACAAUGGGCGAAAGCCUGAUCCAGCAAUGCCGCGUGAGUGAUGAAGGCCUUAGGGUUGUAAAGCUCUUUUACCCGGGAUGAUAAUGACAGUACCGGGAGAAUAAGCUCCGGCUAACUCCGUG
This 433-nucleotide ribosomal RNA is filed under the name uncultured bacterium. Its description in RNAcentral is "partial 16S ribosomal RNA". It matches the Rfam family "Bacterial small subunit ribosomal RNA", at positions 29 to 507 of the family's 1533-position model. The record is from RNAcentral.